This 468-nucleotide ribosomal RNA is filed under the name uncultured bacterium. RNAcentral describes it as "partial 16S ribosomal RNA". It matches the Rfam family "Bacterial small subunit ribosomal RNA", at positions 28 to 507 of the family's 1533-position model. The record is from RNAcentral.
GACGAACGCUGGCGGCGUGCUUAACACAUGCAAGUCGAACGGUAAGGCUCUGCUUUUGUGGGGUGCUCGAGUGGCGAACGGGGGAGUAACACGUGUGUAACCUGCCCUUUACUUUGGGAUACCUUCAGUAAACACGGGCUCUUACCCCACAUGAGCUCCUGCUGCAUGGUGGGUAUUGGUAAGUUUCGGCGUUUGGGGAUGGACUCGCGGCUUAUCAUCUUGUUGGUGAGGUAGUGGCUUACCAAGGCGUUGACGGGUAGCCGGCCUGGGAGGGUGACAGGCCACAAUGGGAAUGAGAAGCGGCCAAGAGUCAUACGGGAGGCAGCAGUGGAGAAUAUUGCAAAAAGGGCGGAAGCCUGAUGCAGCAACGUCGGGUGCGGGAUGACGGCCUUCGGGUUGGAAACCGCUUUAGCCUGUGAAGAAGAGUGAGUGACGGUAAUGGGUAAAGAAGCACCGGCUAACUACGUG